ACUUGAGCUAAUACCGGAUACGCCCUUACGGGGAAAGAUUAUUGCCGAAGGAACGGCCCGCGUCCGAUUAGCUUGUUGGUGAGGUAACGGCUCACCAAGGCGACGAUCGGUAGCUGGUCUGAGAGGAUGACCAGCCUCACUGGGACUGAGACACGGCCCAGACUCCUACGGGAGGCAGCAGUGGGGAAUAUUGGACAAUGGGCGCAAGCCUGAUCCAGCCAUGCCGCGUGGGUGAUGAAGGCCCUAGGGUUGUAAAGCCCUUUCGGCGGGGAAGAUAAUGACGGUACCCGCAGAAGAAGCCCCGGCUAACUUC
This 313-nucleotide ribosomal RNA is filed under the name uncultured alpha proteobacterium MB9a-MO3. RNAcentral describes it as "bacterial SSU rRNA". It matches the Rfam family "Bacterial small subunit ribosomal RNA", at positions 156 to 504 of the family's 1533-position model. Lineage: Bacteria; Pseudomonadati; Pseudomonadota; Alphaproteobacteria. The record is from RNAcentral.